This 497-nucleotide ribosomal RNA is filed under the name uncultured bacterium. RNAcentral describes it as "partial 16S ribosomal RNA". It matches the Rfam family "Bacterial small subunit ribosomal RNA", at positions 28 to 507 of the family's 1533-position model. The record is from RNAcentral.
GAUGAACGCUGGCGGCGUGCCUAAUACAUGCAAGUCGAGCGAACGGAUGAGAAGCUUGCUUCUCUGAUGUUAGCGGCGGACGGGUGAGUAACACGUGGAUAACCUACCUAUAAGACUGGGAUAACUUCGGGAAACCGGAGCUAAUACCGGAUAAUAUUUUGAACCGCAUGGUUCAAAAGUGAAAGACGGUCUUGCUGUCACUUAUAGAUGGAUCCGCGCUGCAUUAGCUAGUUGGUAAGGUAACGGCUUACCAAGGCAACGAUGCAUAGCCGACCUGAGAGGGUGAUCGGCCACACUGGAACUGAGACACGGUCCAGACUCCUACGGGAGGCAGCAGUAGGGAAUCUUCCGCAAUGGGCGAAAGCCUGACGGAGCAACGCCGCGUGAGUGAUGAAGGUCUUCGGAUCGUAAAACUCUGUUAUUAGGGAAGAACAUAUGUGUAAGUAACUGUGCACAUCUUGACGGUACCUAAUAAGAAAGCCACGGCUAACUACGUG